UUCCUUGAACCGCAUGGUUCAAGGAUGAAAGACGGUUUCGGCUGUCACUUACAGAUGGACCCGCGGCGCAUUAGCUAGUUGGUGGGGUAUAUGGCUCAAUCCAAGGCGACGAUGCGUAGCCGACCUGAGAGGGUGAUCGGCCACACUGGGACUGAGACACGGCCCAGACUCCUACGGGAGGCAGCAGUAGGGAAUCUUCCGCAAUGGACGAAAGUCUGUACGGAGCAACGCCGCGUGAGUGAUGAAGGUUUUCGGAUCGUAAAGCUCUGUUGUUAGGGAAGAACAAGUGCGAGAGUAACUGCUCGCACCUUGACGGUACCUAACCAGAGGAAGCCACGGCUAACUACGUGCCAGCAGCCGCGGUAAUACGUAGGUGGCAAGCGUUGUCCGGAAUUAUUGGGCGUAAAGGGCUCGCAGGCCGCAAGGUUUCUUAAGUCUGAUGUGAAAGCCCCCGGCUCAACCGGGGGAGGGUCAUUGGAAACUGGGAAACUUGAGUGCAGAAGAGGAGAGUGGAAUUCCACGUGUAGCGGUGAAAUGCGUAGAGAUGUGGAGGACACACCAGUGGCGAAGGCGACUCUCUGGUCUGUAACUGACGCU
Molecule: ribosomal RNA, 597 nt
Filed under: Bacillus safensis
Lineage: Bacteria; Bacillati; Bacillota; Bacilli; Caryophanales; Bacillaceae
Description: bacterial SSU rRNA
Rfam family: Bacterial small subunit ribosomal RNA
Source: RNAcentral